This 504-nucleotide ribosomal RNA is filed under the name uncultured bacterium. RNAcentral's name for it is "bacterial SSU rRNA". It matches the Rfam family "Bacterial small subunit ribosomal RNA", at positions 16 to 507 of the family's 1533-position model. The record is from RNAcentral.
AUCAUGGCUCAGGAUGAACGCUAGCUACAGGCUUAACACAUGCAAGUCGAGGGGAAACGACAUCGAAAGCUUGCUUUUGAUGGGCGUCGACCGGCGCACGGGUGAGUAACGCGUAUCCAACCUGCCCACCACUUGGGGAUAACCUUGCGAAAGUAAGACUAAUACCCAAUGAUAUCCCACGAAGGCAUCCGAAUGGGAUUAAAGAUUUAUCGGUGAUGGAUGGGGAUGCGUCUGAUUAGCUUGUUGGCGGGGUAACGGCCCACCAAGGCAACGAUCAGUAGGGGUUCUGAGAGGAAGGUCCCCCACAUUGGAACUGAGACACGGUCCAAACUCCUACGGGAGGCAGCAGUGAGGAAUAUUGGUCAAUGGGCGAGAGCCUGAACCAGCCAAGUAGCGUGCAGGAUGACGGCCCUAUGGGUUGUAAACUGCUUUUAUAAGGGAAUAAAGUGAGUCUCGUGAGACUUUUUGCAUGUACCUUAUGAAUAAGGACCGGCUAAUUCCGUG